UGGGGAAUUUUGCGCAAUGGGGGCAACCCUGACGCAGCAACGCCGCGUGCGGGACGAAGGCCUUCGGGUUGUAAACCGCUUUCAGCAGGGACGAAUUCCGACGGUACCUGCAGAAGAAGCCCCGGCUAACUACGUGCCAGCAGCCGCGGUAAUACGUAGGGGGCGAGCGUUAUCCGGAUUCAUUGGGCGUAAAGCGCGCGUAGGCGGCGCGUCAAGCGGGACCUCUAACCCCGGGGCUCAACCCCGGGCCGGGUCCCGGACUGGCGCGCUCGAGUGCGGUAGAGGCGAGUGGAAUUCCCGGUGUAGCGGUGGAAUGCGCAGAUAUCGGGAAGAACACCGAUGGCGAAGGCAGCUCGCUGGGCCGCCACUGACGCUGAGGCGCGAAAGCUGGGGGAGCGAACAGG
This 404-nucleotide ribosomal RNA is filed under the name uncultured bacterium. RNAcentral describes it as "bacterial SSU rRNA". It matches the Rfam family "Bacterial small subunit ribosomal RNA", at positions 355 to 776 of the family's 1533-position model. The record is from RNAcentral.